RNAcentral lists this ribosomal RNA (272 nucleotides) under uncultured bacterium. Its description in RNAcentral is "partial 16S ribosomal RNA". It matches the Rfam family "Bacterial small subunit ribosomal RNA", at positions 82 to 354 of the family's 1533-position model. The record is from RNAcentral.
CGGGAGUGACUUAGCGGCGGACGGGUGAGUAACGCGUGGGUAACCUGCCCCAUACCGGGGGAUAACGGUUAGAAAUGACCGCUAAUACCGCGUAAGCGCGCGAGGCCGCAUGGCCCCGGGCGAAAAACUCCGGUGGUAUGGGAUGGGCCCGCGUCUGAUUAGCUAGUUGGCGGGGUAGAAGCCCACCAAGGCGACGAUCAGUAGCCGGCCUGAGAGGAUGAACGGCCACAUUGGGACUGAGACACGGCCCAAACUCCUACGGAAGGCAGCAG